Limulus polyphemus (Atlantic horseshoe crab) is the source of this 605-nucleotide long non-coding RNA. RefSeq lists it as uncharacterized. The transcript has 2 exons. Lineage: Eukaryota; Metazoa; Arthropoda; Merostomata; Xiphosura; Limulidae. The record is from RefSeq and is a predicted model, not a curated record.
AGGUUUCUUGUCAUGUUAUCUACCCGUAUUAUGUGGUGUCUUGUUAUCAUCGUCUUACUCAUAAUAAUAUUGAGAGAACUGUCUUUACUGGCUGCUUACAAUCGACAAGCCAGCAGUUCAUCCUGGUUGAAGCAAUCAGAGGAUGACAUCAUGACCUUACUUGUGAAUGAAUCGAGAACGGUGAAGGACGUGAGAGUAGUUGGCAUUCCAGAUUACAAGGAACAGCAAAAUAACGACCAAUGAAGCUACUUGUUCUUUAGAUACUUCCACUAGUUUUGUCAUACUCGUGUGAAGGGAUAUGUAAGGAGUGAUAUCAUUGGAUGGCCAGUUUUCACAUAGGUGAUUGACUUGAGUGGCACGAUUUAUUUUUAAUUAACCAUCUUAAAUUACACAAUUCUUCCUUGAGCUAAUUUAGCAAAAGCAUCCAUGGUGCAAGUGUAAACUUGUUAUUGGUUGACCAUCUCUGCGUGUGACACAAUCUUAAAAUUACCCCCAAUUUAUACUUUAUAUAGUUUUAAUUAUAGUCUCUAAGUCUUAGUAGAACUCAGCAGUAAUAGUUGAAGUCCUCCCAUCUUUAGAAUAAACAUCUUUUAUUGCCAAAAACA